AGAGUUUGAUCAUGGCUCAGAACGAACGCUGGCGGCGUUAACACAUGCAAGUCGAGUGCGCGCCUGUAGCAAUACAGGUGGCGCACGGGNNNGGGUGCGUAACACGUGGGUAAUCUGCCCUCUGAUGGGGAAUAACUCGCCGAAAGGCGAGCUAAUUCCGCAUAAUAUUCCGAAAACCUCGGUUUUUGGACUGAAAGGCGUAAGUCGUCGGAGGAGGAGCCCGCGCACGAUUAGCUAGUUGGUAGGGUAAUGGCCUACCAAGGCUUUGAUCGUUAGCUGGUCUGAGAGGAUGGCCAGCCACACUGGAACUGAGACACGGUCCAGACUCCUACGGGAGGCAGCAGUGGGGAAUCUUGCACAAUGGGCGAAAGCCUGAUGCAGCGACGCCGCGUGGGGGAUGAAGCUUCUCGGAGUGUAAACCCCUUUCGAUCCGGACGAAUGCCCGCAAGGGAUUGACGGUACGGAUAUAAGAAGCCCCGGCUAACUACGUGCCAGCAGCCGCGGUAAUACGUAGGGGGCCAGCGUUGUUCGGAAUUACUGGGUGUAAAGGGUUCGUAGGCGGUGCGGCAAGUUGGGAGUGAAAUCUCUGGGCUCAACCCAGAGUCGGCUUCCAAAACUGCUGUGCUUGAGUGUGAGAGAGGCUCGUGGAAUUGCAGGUGUAGCGGUGAAAUGCGUAGAUAUCUGCAGGAACACCCGUGGCGAAAGCGGCGAGCUGGAUCACUACUGACGCUGAAGAACGAAAGCUAGGGGAGCAAACAGGAUUAGAUACCCUAGUAGUCC
This 780-nucleotide ribosomal RNA is filed under the name uncultured bacterium. RNAcentral describes it as "bacterial SSU rRNA". It matches the Rfam family "Bacterial small subunit ribosomal RNA", at positions 8 to 796 of the family's 1533-position model. The record is from RNAcentral.